CACACACCCAUGUGUAUAGGAUCCCAAAGGAUCACCAUUAAAUUUGGCACAGAUCUUUAAAAAAGUUAUCACAUGGGUGUGGGACUUGAUUUUUCUAGAGAUUUAUGCUAAAUUUAAUGGUAAUCUUUUGAGGUCCUACACACAUGGGUGUGGG
Molecule: microRNA precursor, 154 nt
Filed under: Amborella trichopoda
Lineage: Eukaryota; Viridiplantae; Streptophyta; Magnoliopsida; Amborellales; Amborellaceae
Description: MIR8565 microRNA precursor family
Rfam family: MIR8565 microRNA precursor family
Source: Rfam by way of RNAcentral